AGGACGAACGCUGGCGGCGUGCUUAACACAUGCAAGUCGAACGAGGUCCAUCCCGUCGCAAGACGGGGGAAGACCUAGUGGCGAACGGGUGAGUAACACGCGAGGAACGUGCCCCGGAGACCGGGAUAACAGCGGGAAACCGCUGCUAAUACCGGAUACCUUCCUUUGAUCGCAUGAUCAGUUGAAGAAAUGGAUUCCGCUCCGGGAGCGCCUCGCGGUCUAUCAGCUUGUUGGUGGGUAACGGCCUACCAAGGCGACGACGGAUAGCUGGUCUGAGAGGACGAUCAGCCACACUGGGACUGAGACACGGCCCAGACUCCUACGGGAGCAGCAGUGGGAAUCUUGCCAAUGGGCGAAAGCCUGAGGCAGCAACGCCGCGUGUGGGAUGAAGGCCCGUUGGUUGUAAACCACUUUACAGCGAAGGAACGAAAAGUGAACGGUACC
This 444-nucleotide ribosomal RNA is filed under the name uncultured soil bacterium. Its description in RNAcentral is "bacterial SSU rRNA". It matches the Rfam family "Bacterial small subunit ribosomal RNA", at positions 26 to 479 of the family's 1533-position model. The record is from RNAcentral.